CAUGCAGUCGAACGGUUUCGAUUUAUCGAGAUAGUGGCAAACGGGUGAGUAACGCGUAAGUAACCUGCCCCCAAGUAGGGGAUAACUCCGAGAAAUUGGAGCUAAUACCGUAUGUGGUGGUGAAGGUAAUGCUUCAUCACUAAAGCCUUCGGGCGCUUGGGGAGGGGCUUGUGUCCGAUUAGCUAGUUGGUAGGGUAACGGCUUACCAAGGCGAUGAUCGGUAGCUGGUCUAAGAGGACGGUCAGCCACACUGGAACUGAGACACGGUCCAGACUCCUACGGGAGGCAGCAGCAAGGAAUAUUGGGCAAUGGGCGAAAGCCUGACCCAGCGACGCCGCGUGGGGGAUGAAGGCCUUCGGGUUGUAAACCCCUUUUCCCAGGGAAGAACAAUGACGGUACCUGGGGAAUAAGUCUCGGCUAACUACGUGCCAGCAGCCGCGGUAAUACGUAGGAGGCAAGCGUUAUUCGGAUUUAUUGGGCGUAAAGAGGGCGUAGGCGGCUUUUCAAGUCAGAUGUAAAAUCUCCCAGCUUAACUGGGAGGGAUCAUUUGAAACUGUCAGGCUAGAGGGCAGCAGAGGGAGGUGGAAUUCCCGGUGUAGUGGUGAAAUGCGUAGAUAUCGGGAGGAACACCAGUGGCGAAGGCGGCCUCCUGGGCUGUUGCUGACGCUGAGGCCCGAAAGCGUGGGGAGCGAACAGGAUUAGAUACCCUGGUAGUCCACGCCGUAAACGAUGGACACUAGGUAU
This 744-nucleotide ribosomal RNA is filed under the name uncultured bacterium. Its description in RNAcentral is "bacterial SSU rRNA". It matches the Rfam family "Bacterial small subunit ribosomal RNA", at positions 54 to 823 of the family's 1533-position model. The record is from RNAcentral.